This is a non-coding RNA of Triticum aestivum (bread wheat), 74 nucleotides long. Lineage: Eukaryota; Viridiplantae; Streptophyta; Magnoliopsida; Poales; Poaceae. The record is from Rfam.
GGACCAAUAUGCUCAGUUGGUAGAGCAUUGGGAUUUUAACCUAAUGGUCGCAUGUUCAAGUCCUGCUAUACCCA